This 727-nucleotide ribosomal RNA is filed under the name uncultured fungus. Its description in RNAcentral is "SSU rRNA". It matches the Rfam family "Eukaryotic small subunit ribosomal RNA", at positions 329 to 1060 of the family's 1831-position model. The record is from RNAcentral. Lineage: Eukaryota; Fungi.
UAGGAUAGAGGCCUACCAUGGUGGUAACGGGUAACGGGGUGUUAGGGCACGACACCGGAGAGGGAGCCUGAGAAACGGCUACCACAUCCAAGGAUGGCAGCAGGCGCGCAAAUUACCCAAUCCCGACACGGGGAGGUAGUGACAAUAAAUAACAAUACGGGGUUCUUUCGGAUCUCGUAAUUGGAAUGAGUACAAUUUAAAUCUCUUAACGAGGAACAAUUGGAGGGCAAGUCUGGUGCCAGCAGCCGCGGUAAUUCCAGCUCCAAUAGCGUAUAUUAAAGUUGUUGCAGUUAAAAAGCUCGUAGUUGAAUUUCGGGGUUAGUAGGUUGGUCAUGCCUCUGGUAUGUACUGGUCUCACUGAUUCCUCCUUCCUUAUGAACCGUAAUGCCAUUAAUUUGGUGUUGCGGGGAAUUUGGACUGUUACUUUGAAAAAAUUAGAGUGUUUAAAGCAAGCUAACGCUUGAAUACAUUAGCAUGGAAUAAUGAAAUAGGACGUUCGAUCUUAUUUUGUUGGUUUCUAGGAUUGACGUAAUGAUUAAUAGGGAUAGUUGGGGGCAUUAGUAUUCAAUUGUCAGAGGUGAAAUUCUUGGAUUUAUUGAAGACUAACUACUGCGAAAGCACUUGCCAAGGAUGUUUUCAUUAAUCAAGAACGAAAGUUAGGGGAUCGAAGACGAUCAGAUACCGUCGUAGUCUUAACCAUAAACUAUGCCGACUAGGGAUCGGAUGA